GAGUUUGAUCGUGGCUCAGAUUGAACGCUGGCGGCAUGCCUUACACAUGCAAGUCGAACGGCAGCACGGGAGCUUGCUCCUGGUGGCGAGUGGCGAACGGGUGAGUAAUGCAUCGGAACGUAUCCUGGAGUGGGGGAUAACGUAGCGAAAGUUACGCUAAUACCGCAUAUUCUGUGAGCAGGAAAGCGGGGGACCUUCGGGCCUCGCGCUCUUGGAGCGGCCGAUGUCGGAUUAGCUAGUUGGUGAGGUAAAGGCUCACCAAGGCGACGAUCCGUAGCAGGUCUGAGAGGAUGAUCUGCCACACUGGAACUGAGACA
This 317-nucleotide ribosomal RNA is filed under the name bacterium enrichment culture clone ALO1_GLFRUDD03GB0P4. RNAcentral's name for it is "bacterial SSU rRNA". It matches the Rfam family "Bacterial small subunit ribosomal RNA", at positions 9 to 326 of the family's 1533-position model. The record is from RNAcentral.